UACGUAGGGUGCGAGCGUUAAUCGGAAUUACUGGGCGUAAAGCGUGCGCAGGCGGUUUUGUAAGCCAGGUGUGAAAUCCCCAGGCUCAACCUGGGAAUGGCAUUUGGGACUGCAAGGCUGGAGUGCGGCAGAGGAGACUGGAAUUCCUGGUGUAGCAGUGAAAUGCGUAGAUAUCAGGAGGAACACCGAUGGCGAAGGCAGGUCUCUGGGCUGACACUGACGCUCAUGCACGAAAGCGUGGGGAGCAAACAGG
Molecule: ribosomal RNA, 253 nt
Filed under: uncultured bacterium
Lineage: Bacteria
Description: partial 16S ribosomal RNA
Rfam family: Bacterial small subunit ribosomal RNA
Source: RNAcentral